Molecule: ribosomal RNA, 253 nt
Filed under: uncultured bacterium
Lineage: Bacteria
Description: partial 16S ribosomal RNA
Rfam family: Bacterial small subunit ribosomal RNA
Source: RNAcentral
UACGGAGGGGGCUAGCGUUGUUCGGAAUUAUUGGGCGUAAAGGGUGCGUAGGCGGUUUGACAAGUCUUAUGUGAAAUCUUUGGGCUCAACUCAGAGUCUGCAUGGGAAACUGUCGAGCUUGAGUAUGGGAGAGGUGAGUGGAAUUUCCGGUGUAGCGGUGAAAUGCGUAGAUAUCGGAAGGAACACCUGUGGCGAAAGCGGCUCACUGGACCAUAACUGACGCUGAGGCACGAAAGCUAGGGGAGCGAACAGG